RNAcentral lists this long non-coding RNA (471 nucleotides) under Zostera marina. RNAcentral describes it as "long non-coding RNA (ZMAR_LNC005845)". Lineage: Eukaryota; Viridiplantae; Streptophyta; Magnoliopsida; Alismatales; Zosteraceae. The record is from RNAcentral.
GAAGAACACCUCAGUUUCACCGGGGAAGUAAUAAAGCGACCUAAAGAUUACUUGCCAACAACUGGACUGAGAUGUGAGUUCUGACGGCUAAACAAAUUUGGAUAUGAAAAGUAUGGAUCAUCAUCCAAAGAAGCAGACCUUGAAGGUUGCUGUGUAGGAUCCCAAUUGUUAAAGGAUUCAGGUUCCAAUUUGGAUGUCUUGGGAGAAAGGGCAUCAUCAAAAGACCUCGAUGGUUGCUGUUGCAUAUGAUCCCAAGUGUUUAGGGAUUCAGGUUCAGUCUUGCAUGUCUCGAGAGAGAGAGCUGCUAUGCUAUUUUCCAGGGAGCUAGGUUGAUUUGAAAUAUCCAUUUCUACUUCACUUCCAUUUUUGUAGUUAUAUAGAGGCAUAACUCAUAAGGGUGAUAAAUUCUGUGCAAUACCUCGACGGGAUAUAUUUGAUGGAAUUAGACAACGGAUUGGACGAUAUUCAUCA